This 368-nucleotide ribosomal RNA is filed under the name uncultured organism. RNAcentral describes it as "bacterial SSU rRNA". It matches the Rfam family "Bacterial small subunit ribosomal RNA", at positions 526 to 896 of the family's 1533-position model. The record is from RNAcentral.
CGGAGGGUGCAAGCGUUAUCCGGAUUCACUGGGUUUAAAGGGUGUGUAGGCGGGCAGUUAAGUCAGUGGUGAAAUCUCCGGGCUCAACCCGGAAACUGCCAUUGAUACUAUCUGUCUUGAAUACCGAUGAGGUGGGCGGAAUAUGUCAUGUAGCGGUGAAAUGCAUAGAUAUGACAUAGAACACCAAUUGCGAAGGCAGCUCACUAAACGGUCAUUGACGCUGAGGCACGAAAGCGUGGGGAUCAAACAGGAUUAGAUACCCUGGUAGUCCACGCCCUAAACGAUGAUUACUCGACAUACGCGAUACACAGUGUGUGUCUGAGCGAAAGCAUUAAGUAAUCCACCUGGGAAGUACGUCCGCAAGGAUG